UGCUAAGUUGAUGGCGACCGGCGCACGGGUGAGUAACACGUAUCCACCUGCCGAUGACUCGGGGAUAGCCUUUCGAAAGAAAGAUUAAUACCCGAUGGCUCCGCAUGGUUAAAGAAUUUCGGUCAUCGAUGGGGAUGCGUUCCAUUAGGUUGUUGGCGGGGUAACGGCCCACCAAGCCUUCGAUGGAUAGGGGUUCUGAGAGGAAGGUCCCCCACAUUGGAACUGAGACACGGUCCAAACUCUACGGGAGGCAGCAGUGAGGAAUAUUGGUCAAUGGACGAGAGUCUGAACCAGCCAAGUAGCGUGAAGGAUGACUGCCUAUGGGUUGUAAACUUCUUUUAUACGGGAAUAAGUGAGGCACGCGUGCCUUUUUGUAUGUACCGUAUGAAUAAGGAUCGGCUAACCCCGUGCCAGCAGCCGCGGUAAUACGGAGGAUCCGAGCGUUAUCCGGAUUUAUUGGGUUUAAAGGGAGCGUAGGCGGACGCUUAAGUCAGUUGUGAAAGUUUGCGGCUCAACCGUAAAAUUGCAGUUGAUACUGGGUGUCUUGAGUACAGUAGAGGCAGGCGGAAUUCGUGGUGUAGCGGUGAAAUGCUUAGAUAUCACGAAGAACUCCGAUUGCGAAGGCAGCCUGCUGGACUGUAACUGACGCUGAUGCUCGAAAGUGUGGGUAU
This 671-nucleotide ribosomal RNA is filed under the name uncultured bacterium. RNAcentral's name for it is "bacterial SSU rRNA". It matches the Rfam family "Bacterial small subunit ribosomal RNA", at positions 78 to 768 of the family's 1533-position model. The record is from RNAcentral.